AGAGUUUGAUCCUGGCUCAGAUUGAACGCUGGCGGCAUGCUUUACACAUGCAAGUCGAACGGUAACGCGGGGGCAACCCUGGCGACGAGUGGCGAACGGGUGAGUAAUACAUCGGAACAUGUCCUGGAGUGGGGGAUAGCUCGGCGAAAGCCGGAUUAAUACCGCAUACGCUCUGAGGAGGAAAGCGGGGGACCCGUAAGGGCCUCGCGCUGCGGGAGUGGCCGAUGUCGGAUUAGCUAGUUGGUGAGGUAAAGGCUCACCAAGGCGACGAUCCGUAGCUGGUUUGAGAGGAUGAUCAGCCACACUGGGACUGAGACACGGCCCAGACUCCUACGGGAGGCAGCAGUGGGGAAUUUUGGACAAUGGGGGCAACCCUGAUCCAGCCAUGCCGCGUGAGUGAAGAAGGCCUUCGGGUUGUAAAGCUCUUUCGGACGGGACGAAACGGUUGCGGUGAAUAACCGCGACUAAUGACGGUACCGUAAUAAGAAGCACCGGCUAACUACGUGCCAGCAGCCGCGGUAAUAC
RNAcentral lists this ribosomal RNA (525 nucleotides) under uncultured Ferribacter sp. RNAcentral's name for it is "bacterial SSU rRNA". It matches the Rfam family "Bacterial small subunit ribosomal RNA", at positions 8 to 526 of the family's 1533-position model. The record is from RNAcentral. Lineage: Bacteria; Pseudomonadati; Pseudomonadota; Betaproteobacteria; Ferrovales; Ferrovaceae.